Molecule: ribosomal RNA, 2058 nt
Filed under: Salmonella enterica subsp. enterica serovar Chester
Lineage: Bacteria; Pseudomonadati; Pseudomonadota; Gammaproteobacteria; Enterobacterales; Enterobacteriaceae
Description: partial 23S ribosomal RNA
Rfam family: Bacterial large subunit ribosomal RNA
Source: RNAcentral
GACUCGUCACACUAUCAUUAACUGAAUCCAUAGGUUAAUGAGGCGAACCGGGGGAACUGAAACAUCUAAGUACCCCGAGGAAAAGAAAUCAACCGAGAUUCCCCCAGUAGCGGCGAGCGAACGGGGAGGAGCCCAGAGCCUGAAUCAGCAUGUGUGUUAGUGGAAGCGUCUGGAAAGGCGCGCGAUACAGGGUGACAGCCCCGUACACAAAAGCGCAUGUGCUGUGAGCUCGAUGAGUAGGGCGGGACACGUGGUAUCCUGUCUGAAUAUGGGGGGACCAUCCUCCAAGGCUAAAUACUCCUGACUGACCGAUAGUGAACCAGUACCGUGAGGGAAAGGCGAAAAGAACCCCGGCGAGGGGAGUGAAAAAGAACCUGAAACCGUGUACGUACAAGCAGUGGGAGCACAGGUUUACCUGUGUGACUGCGUACCUUUUGUAUAAUGGGUCAGCGACUUAUAUUCUGUAGCAAGGUUAACCGAAUAGGGGAGCCGGAGGGAAACCGAGUCUUAAUUGGGCGUUAAGUUGCAGGGUAUAGACCCGAAACCCGGUGAUCUAGCCAUGGGCAGGUUGAAGGUUGGGUAACACUAACUGGAGGACCGAACCGACUAAUGUUGAAAAAUUAGCGGAUGACCUGUGGCUGGGGGUGAAAGGCCAAUCAAACCGGGAGAUAGCUGGUUCUCCCCGAAAGCUAUUUAGGUAGCGCCUCGUGAAUUCAUCUCCGGGGGUAGAGCACUGUUUCGGCUAGGGGGCCAUCCCGGCUUACCAACCCGAUGCAAACUGCGAAUACCGGAGAAUGUUAUCACGGGAGACACACGGCGGGUGCUAACGUCCGUCGUGAAGAGGGAAACAACCCAGACCGCCAGCUAAGGUCCCAAAGUCAUGGUUAAGUGGGAAACGAUGUGGGAAGGCCCAGACAGCCAGGAUGUUGGCUUAGAAGCAGCCAUCAUUUAAAGAAAGCGUAAUAGCUCACUGGUCGAGUCGGCCUGCGCGGAAGAUGUAACGGGGCUAAACCAUGCACCGAAGCUGCGGCAGCGACGCUGAUGCGUUGUUGGGUAGGGGAGCGUUCUGUAAGCCUGCGAAGGUGGCCUGUGAGGGUUGCUGGAGGUAUCAGAAGUGCGAAUGCUGACAUAAGUAACGAUAAAGCGGGUGAAAAGCCCGCUCGCCGGAAGACCAAGGGUUCCUGUCCAACGUUAAUCGGGGCAGGGUGAGUCGACCCCUAAGGCGAGGCCGAAAGGCGUAGUCGAUGGGAAACGGGUUAAUAUUCCCGUACUUGGUGUUACUGCGAAGGGGGGACGGAGAAGGCUAUGUUGGCCGGGCGACGGUUGUCCCGGUUUAAGCGUGUAGGUGUGUGUUCCAGGUAAAUCCGGUUCACUUUAACACUGAGGCGUGAUGACGAGGCACUACGGUGCUGAAGCAACAAAUGCCCUGCUUCCAGGAAAAGCCUCUAAGCAUCAGGUAACAUCAAAUCGUACCCCAAACCGACACAGGUGGUCAGGUAGAGAAUACCAAGGCGCUUGAGAGAACUCGGGUGAAGGAACUAGGCAAAAUGGUGCCGUAACUUCGGGAGAAGGCACGCUGACACGUAGGUGAAGUGAUUUACUCAUGGAGCUGAAGUCAGUCGAAGAUACCAGCUGGCUGCAACUGUUUAUUAAAAACACAGCACUGUGCAAACACGAAAGUGGACGUAUACGGUGUGACGCCUGCCCGGUGCCGGAAGGUUAAUUGAUGGGGUCAGCGCAAGCGAAGCUCCUGAUCGAAGCCCCGGUAAACGGCGGCCGUAACUAUAACGGUCCUAAGGUAGCGAAAUUCCUUGUCGGGUAAGUUCCGACCUGCACGAAUGGCGUAAUGAUGGCCAGGCUGUCUCCACCCGAGACUCAGUGAAAUUGAACUCGCUGUGAAGAUGCAGUGUACCCGCGGCAAGACGGAAAGACCCCGUGAACCUUUACUAUAGCUUGACACUGAACAUUGAGCCUUGAUGUGUAGGAUAGGUGGGAGGCUUUGAAGUGUGGACGCCAGUCUGCAUGGAGCCGACCUUGAAAUACCACCCUUUAAUGUUU